AUGAACGCUAGCGGCAGGCCUAAUACAUGCAAGUCGGACGGGAUUGGAGAGCUUGCUUUCCAUGAGAGUGGCGCACGGGUGCGUAACACGUAUGUAACCUACCUUGUUCAGGGGGAUAGCCUCUCGAAAGAGAGAUUAAGACCGCAUAACAUUAUUGAAUGGCAUCGUUUAAUAAUCAAAUAUUUAUAGGAACAAGAUGGGCAUGCGGAACAUUAGCUAGUUGGUAAGGUAACGGCUUACCAAGGCUACGAUGUUUAGGGG
RNAcentral lists this ribosomal RNA (261 nucleotides) under Mucilaginibacter sp. ISOM084_OTU5263. Its description in RNAcentral is "partial 16S ribosomal RNA". It matches the Rfam family "Bacterial small subunit ribosomal RNA", at positions 29 to 289 of the family's 1533-position model. The record is from RNAcentral. Lineage: Bacteria; Pseudomonadati; Bacteroidota; Sphingobacteriia; Sphingobacteriales; Sphingobacteriaceae.